UACGGGGGGGGCAAGCGUUGUUCGGAAUUACUGGGCGUAAAGGGCGCGUAGGCGGCGUGACAAGUCACUUGUGAAAUCUCCGGGCUUAACCCGGAGCGGCCAAGUGAUACUGCCGGGCUAGAGUCCGGAAGAGGCGAGUGGAAUUCCUGGUGUAGCGGUGGAAUGCGCAGAUAUCAGGAGGAACACCGAUAGCGAAGGCAGCUCGCUGGGACGGUACUGACGCUGAGGUGCGAAAGCGUGGGGAGCGAACAGG
This 253-nucleotide ribosomal RNA is filed under the name uncultured bacterium. Its description in RNAcentral is "partial 16S ribosomal RNA". It matches the Rfam family "Bacterial small subunit ribosomal RNA", at positions 524 to 776 of the family's 1533-position model. The record is from RNAcentral.